UCCGGUUUGCCACCGGCAGUCUCAUUAGAGUGCCCUUUCGUAGCAACUAAUGACAAGGGUUGCGCUCGUUGCGGGACUUAACCCAACAUCUCACGACACGAGCUGACGACAGCCAUGCAGCACCUGUAUACCGACCUUGCGGGGGCUACAUCUCUGCAGCUUUCCGGCAUAUGUCAAACCCAGGUAAGGUUCUUCGCGUUGCAUCGAAUUAAUCCGCAUGCUCCGCCGCUUGUGCGGGCCCCCGUCAAUUCCCUUGAGUUUUAACCUUGCGGCCGUACUCCCCAGGCGGAGUGCUUAAUGCGUUAGCUGCGACACCGAAGCCCUAAGGGCCCCAACGUCUAGCACUCAUCGUUUACGGCGUGGACUAC
RNAcentral lists this unclassified non-coding RNA (368 nucleotides) under uncultured bacterium. RNAcentral describes it as "contains 16S-23S intergenic spacer region". The record is from RNAcentral.